GAAGUAAGAUGUUCAAGUAAAAGCUGCUAACUUUUUUCUUUUAAUGGUUAAACUCCAUUUAUACUUCU
This 68-nucleotide transfer RNA is filed under the name Phaonia tuguriorum. Its description in RNAcentral is "tRNA-Ser". Lineage: Eukaryota; Metazoa; Arthropoda; Insecta; Diptera; Muscidae. The record is from RNAcentral.